GGCUGUGGCGCAAUGGAUAGCGCAUUGGACUUCUAGGUUCAAUAUUGGAGCUAUUCAAAGAAGUUGUGGGUUCAAGUCCCUCCAGAGUCA
RNAcentral lists this transfer RNA (90 nucleotides) under Ameiurus melas (black bullhead). RNAcentral describes it as "tRNA-Arg". It matches the Rfam family "tRNA". Rfam says of the family: Transfer RNA (tRNA) molecules are approximately 80 nucleotides in length. Their secondary structure includes four short double-helical elements and three loops (D, anti-codon, and T loops). Further hydrogen bonds mediate the characteristic L-shaped molecular structure. tRNAs have two regions of fundamental functional importance: the anti-codon, which is responsible for specific mRNA codon recognition, and the 3' end, to which the tRNAs corresponding amino acid is attached (by aminoacyl-tRNA synthetases). tRNAs cope with the degeneracy of the genetic code in two manners: having more than one tRNA (with a specific anti-codon) for a particular amino acid; and 'wobble' base-pairing, i.e. permitting non-standard base-pairing at the 3rd anti-codon position. The record is from RNAcentral. Lineage: Eukaryota; Metazoa; Chordata; Actinopteri; Siluriformes; Ictaluridae.